GAUGAACGCUGGCUACAGGCUUAACACAUGCCAGUCGAGGGGAAACGGCAUUGAGUGCUUGCACUGAAUGGACGUCGACCGGCGCACGGGUGAGUAACGCGUAUCCAACCUUCCCGUUACUGCGGGAUAACCUGCCGAAAGGCAGACUAAUACCGCAUGUUCUUCGAUGACGGCAUCAGAUUCGAAGCAAAGAUCCGUCGGUAACGGAGGGGGAUGCGUCUGAUUAGCUAGUUGGCGGGGCGACGGCCCACCAAGGCGACAAUCAGUAGGGGUUCUGAGAGGAAGGUCCCCCACAUUGGAACUGAGACACGGUCCAAACUCCUACGGGAGGCAGCAGUGAGGAAUAUUGGUCAAUGGGCGGAAGCCUGAACCAGCCAAGUAGCGUGCAGGAUGACGGCCCUACGGGUUGUAAACUGCUUUUAUGCGGGGAUAAAGUGAGGGACGCGUCCCUUUUUGCAGGUACCGCAUGAAUAAGGACCGGCUAAUUCCGUG
RNAcentral lists this ribosomal RNA (492 nucleotides) under uncultured bacterium. Its description in RNAcentral is "partial 16S ribosomal RNA". It matches the Rfam family "Bacterial small subunit ribosomal RNA", at positions 28 to 507 of the family's 1533-position model. The record is from RNAcentral.